Molecule: ribosomal RNA, 484 nt
Filed under: uncultured bacterium
Lineage: Bacteria
Description: partial 16S ribosomal RNA
Rfam family: Bacterial small subunit ribosomal RNA
Source: RNAcentral
AUUGAACGCUGGCGGCAGGCCUAACACAUGCCAGUCGAGCGGAUGAAGGGAGCUUGCGCCUGGAUUCAGCGGCGGACGGGUGAGUAAUGCCUAGGAAUCUGCCUGGUAGUGGGGGAUAACGUCCGGAAACGGGCGCUAAUACCGCAUACGUCCUGAGGGAGAAAGUGGGGGAUCUUCGGACCUCACGCUAUCAGAUGAGCCUAGGUCGGAUUAGCUAGUUGGUGGGGUAAAGGCCUACCAAGGCGACGAUCCGUAACUGGCCUGAGAGGAUGAUCAGUCACACUGGAACUGAGACACGGUCCAGACUCCUACGGGAGGCAGCAGUGGGGAAUAUUGGACAAUGGGCGAAAGCCUGAUCCAGCCAUGCCGCGUGUGUGAAGAAGGUCUUCGGAUUGUAAAGCACUUUAAGUUGGGAGGAAGGGCAGUAAGUUAAUACCUUGCUGUUUUGACGUUACCAACAGAAUAAGCACCGGCUAACUUCGUG